GACGAACGCUGGCGGCGUGGAUUAGGCAUGCAAGUCGAACGGUAUCAUCCUUUCGGGGGUGAGAGAGUGGCGAACUGGUGAGUGACACGUAGGUUAUCUACCCUCAAGACGGGGACAACCCAGGGAAACUUGGGCUAAUACCGGAUGUGAGCAACUUUUAGUUGUUUGAAAGGUGGCGUAAGCUGUCGCUUGGGGAUGAGCCUGCGUCCUAUUAGUUAGUUGGUGAGGUAACGGCUCACCUAGGCAAUGAUAGGUAGGCGGCCUUAACGGGUGGUCGCCCACACUGGGAUUGAGAUACGGCCCAGACUCCUACGGGAGGCAGCAGUCGAGAAUAGUCUACAAUGGUCGGAAGACUGAUAGUGCGACGCCGCGUGAACGAUGAAUCCCUUCGGGGUGUAAAGUUCUUUUAUAUGUGAGCAGUGCUUCUUAUAUUAACAGUAUGGGGAGAGAGAUAUUAGCAUAUGAAUAAGCAACGGCUAACUCCGUGCCAGCAGCCGCGGUAA
RNAcentral lists this ribosomal RNA (503 nucleotides) under uncultured bacterium. RNAcentral describes it as "bacterial SSU rRNA". It matches the Rfam family "Bacterial small subunit ribosomal RNA", at positions 28 to 523 of the family's 1533-position model. The record is from RNAcentral.